AAAUAGAACUUUGCAGAGAGAGUUAAGAGGGCGUGAAACCGUUAAUUGGCAAACGAAUCGGAGCCACGAAGUCGUUUCGUCGAGUUGGAUCGAGUUCAGUUUGCAAGAGAUUGCAGGCGUAUUCUCGUGUCUGACCAAUGUAAGCGUACACUGCAACCAGUUAGACAAUUGCUCAUGGAACCAGCUAGUAAAGUUAGUAGUUGUGGGCAGCAGCUUGCUGUUGUUUGCAGCUGAGCUAGACUAAGUGAACUAUGAGCAAAUACUGACUGGCAAAUUGAAAAUCGUGCGAAAGCGCGUGCUCAAAUAGCAUCUCAUUGUAUAGUAGACUACACAAUCCACCGCGAGCAUAUUAAAGUUCGGUAUUUUUGAAUUUGGACUUGCUAGCUACCAAUGGGGCAACUCUUGGUGCUAGUAUAGCUUUCCAUCUAAUCGGGUGCUGGCUUGUGCUAGCGUCGAUGUGGUUGUGCUACGAUUGGUUUGUUGUACAAUUGGGAAUGUGUAUAUUGGCAGUGAGUAGGUCGGCUUUCCGAACGACCCGUCUUGAAACACGGACCAAGGAGUCUAAUUAAGCAUCGAGUCGAUCGGUCUUGAAUAGGCCAGAUAUGUUAGACUUAGCGAAAUGAAGGCGUAGAGACAUGUGAUCCCAGUUCCAAAAGAUCUGUUGGCGCAACAUGUGCCUGUUCAAAGGAAUGUUAACAAAAUUCCUGGCGGAGCAAAGAGAUGCUUGAUUGGUACCCGAAAGAUGGUGAGCUUGGGCAAAUUGAAGCCAGAGGAAACUCUGGUGGAGGAUUGUAGCGAUUCUGACGUGCAAAUCGAUCGUCAGACCUGAGUAUAGGGGCGAAAGACUAAUCGAACCAUC
This 859-nucleotide ribosomal RNA is filed under the name Latitudo asiaticis. Its description in RNAcentral is "partial large subunit ribosomal RNA". It matches the Rfam family "Eukaryotic large subunit ribosomal RNA", at positions 366 to 944 of the family's 3401-position model. The record is from RNAcentral. Lineage: Eukaryota; Metazoa; Arthropoda; Arachnida; Trombidiformes; Eriophyidae.